RNAcentral lists this long non-coding RNA (1094 nucleotides) under Chrysemys picta bellii (western painted turtle). RNAcentral describes it as "lncRNA (ENSCPBG00000027948.1)". Lineage: Eukaryota; Metazoa; Chordata; Testudines; Emydidae. The record is from RNAcentral.
AAAAUCGCAGCUUCCACGCACCUGCCAGGCUCUGAAAACAACCCCAUGGGCCGAAGCAGCUGCAGAAUAAACUGGAGUGGGAAAGCUUAUAGCUUACAGCUGAAGUCCUCCUCUUGCAAGAUUCCCAGCUGCUGGAAGUGACUUUACGAGGGAACGAAGCAGCCACGGAUCGAAAACUUGUUUGGGAUGCUUGUCAGCUUUCAGAAUAAUACCAAAACGCUGGACAUCUACAGCAUCUUUCACUUCAGGAGCUCAGACAUCUGAGACGCCUGAUGGGCUUCCUGCAGAAAACAGCUGUCUGCCUCCUGUUCCUGUUUGUUUUUUCAAGUGCCUCCAACAGCAAACUUGCAACCUUCACUUGCAGUGAUGUCAAGACAGAAUAUAACAAAACGGCAGCAAUUUCAUGCAUUGGCAGCAAGAAGAUUACAAACGUGGUAGUUAAGCGCUGUGAAAACUGUAAUAAACAGAACUCGUGCUUAGAAACUUUUAUUAACACAUGGACAGGAAAGGAUUCCAGUGAAAAGGGAAGAAUUCAGUUGGUGCUACAACACAACGUUUCUGAAUUGCACAUACAGGAAGUAAAAGCAACUGAUCAAGGAGGUUAUAAAUGGUAUAUUUAUUCUGAUGCUGGGGAAGACGAUGGAUGUAUAACCCUUGAGAUUACAGCUCCAGAAAUUGAGCCUAUCCUAACUAGAAACGGAAGAAAGCUCUCCUGUCUGUCAUCUAUAGGGCAUCGACAAAGGCAGAUCCAUUGGUUCGAUGGUCACGGGAAUAACCUGACGGGCAGUGCAAGCCUGGUAUCUGAGGAAGCAGAAGGUGGUUUAACCAGCCUUACCAGCACUCUCCAUGAGAAACCCACCUUAACUGCCUCCGAGUAUUGCUGCACUGUGCUGUAUGAUGUGCACACCAAGAGAAGCAAAACCAAGUGCAUUCGUGCCCACAAAGCAGUCACUGAUUACCCUCAUUUUACUUCAACCCCAGGUAUAAGAUAUAGCAGAAAUACUUUGGCUAGGUCUACACUACCCCCCUGAAUCGGCGGGUAGAAAUCGACCUCUCGGGGAUCGAUUUAUCGCGUCCCAUUGGGACGCGACAAU